AACGAACGUUGGCGGCGUGGAUUAGGCAUGCAAGUCGAGCGAGGACAGGGGGCAACUCCUGAGCCGAGCGGCGAAAGGGGCAGUAAGGCGUGGAUAACCUACCCCGGGGACGGGGAUAGCCAUUCUAACGGAUGGGUAAUACCCGGCGAGAUAGCGGAGGCGCAUGUCUUUGCUAUGAAAUGAGUUUCGCCUUGGGAGGGGUUCACGUGGUAUUAGCUAGUUGGUAGGUAACGGCCUACCAAGGCAAAGAUGCCUAGCAGGUGUGAGAGCAUGACCUGCGCCACUGGCACUGAGACACUGGCCAGACUCCUACGGGAGGCUGCAGUCGAGGAUCUUCGGCAAUGGGCGCAAGCCUGACCGAGCGACGCCGCGUGUGCGAUGAAGGCC
Molecule: ribosomal RNA, 387 nt
Filed under: uncultured bacterium
Lineage: Bacteria
Description: bacterial SSU rRNA
Rfam family: Bacterial small subunit ribosomal RNA
Source: RNAcentral